UGGGGAAUCUUGCGCAAUGGGCGAAACCCUGAUCUAGCCAUGCCGCGUGAGCGAUGAAGGCCUUAGGGUUGUAAAGCUCUUUCAGUGGGGAAGAUAAUGACGGUACCCACAGAAGAAGCCCCGGCUAACUCCGUGCCAGCAGCCGCGGUAAGACGGAGGGGGCAAGCGUUGUCCGGAAUCACUGGGCGUAAAGCGCCCGUAGGCGGUGCGGUGCGUCGGUGCUGAAAGCGCCGGGCUUAACCCGGCGAG
Molecule: ribosomal RNA, 249 nt
Filed under: uncultured Alphaproteobacteria bacterium
Lineage: Bacteria; Pseudomonadati; Pseudomonadota; Alphaproteobacteria
Description: partial 16S ribosomal RNA
Rfam family: Bacterial small subunit ribosomal RNA
Source: RNAcentral